GCUUUCGCUUGCUGCCAGGGAGAGGAGUGGGUGUGCUUCCAAGCCGUGCGCCUUCAUCAAUCUACGAGGAUUGCUGUGCACAGAUGUGUGUGAUUUACACGCAGCUGAGAGCCUGGCUCAGCUCCAGAGGGGUCCAGCUAUGUGAGGACUGAGUGGGGGGCCAGAUCAUGCCAUUUGCCAUGUUUGGUAUCCAGCUGUGUCUGCAAAAGAGUAAAUCAUCACUGGUUGCAGGAAUUGGAAUCUGUAAGCUGACGCAGUAGUAGCAGGCUGAUGUUUUGUUGUUGCUGACACAAGAAGAAGAACCCCUGCCUUUAUGGUGUGGCAGCAGUGGCUAUAUGUCGUGCAGACUGGAGGAGAGGCCCAAAGAAGCGCCCAGAGACAGACACGCUGAAACCUGAGAGUUCCUUCAGUCUGUGUUUGUUUUGUUUGACCUACUGGCCAAUUGUCAGAUGGGUCCUCAGAGUCCACAAGAAUGUGUCAUCUCUCAAGUGAAAGACAGUUUGUUGAUAGUCCAUGGGAACAGGUACUUCAGAGAGUCUUCAAAGGAUCUUUGCCAUCACUAUGGUAAUACCAGUUUCAAGCUGGCUGGUUAAAAUUACUGUGAGUAAUUGCACACUAUGAAAGUCAUUUAAUCACUGAGCUGCAGACACACUUCUUUCACCGCCUCUCUGCCUGGGGCGCACGAGGGGCAGCCUUUGUGUCUUUGUGCCUGCUGCAGGCACAGUGUGGUUAUGAAUUCCUGGUCCUCACAAGGAUGUGCGUAACCCGUUGAAUAGCUUUGAAAUAUCAGUUGCCUGUCUAGAAGAGAAUAACUUUCACAGAGACCUCUUUCAAACACGUAUGUCUUGAAUAAAUAGCAGUUCUGAAGUCAGUAAGCAAUCCCUUUAGCUGUCAAGCUUCUCAUAUGUUACACAUUUUUAAGCUCCACCUUCUUGGAAUACUGCUUCAGAAAACACAGAAAUCCCAUAGCACCUUUAAACCCAAGACAGAUACUCUUAUCUGUCAUAUUACUAUGACCAUAGCCACAGAACUGAACCUUAAUUUAAAAAUACUGUACUUCAGUUUCUAUAUCUUAAUAGUCAUGUGCCAGAAGACUGAACUUCGGUCAGUGAAAAAUUUACAGCUUUUGAGGUAGCAAAUUAGCCUCCUAUUUUCAUGUUUACGUCUUAUCUUUUGAUAAUUUUUUCCUUCAUAAUAAAAUGAUCUUUUAUUUGCUUUUUGUUUUCUAAGAUAAGAAACAGCGGACAGUCCCAAAACCUGCUGAUUCACUGUUCAUUAGGAGGCGACGUUUGGAGAGUUUAUUUCAGUGUAUGACAGUACACCUGGAAGAGACAAGUUCAUUUUGGAUAGAAUUUCAUGAUUAUUUCUGAUGGGUAUUUCUGAUCCAGAGUAUGUUCCGUGAGUUUUUAUGCAUUGAUGAUUUCUGCUUGGCAUGGAAAUCCAGAUGUUUUUGUUUUCUAUAGGAAUGGUUUUUGUUGCUUUGCUUUGAGUGAAAAUUAUCUGCACAAAGAAAGCAGCAGCGUUAGCAAGAUUCCAUUCCUAUUCAUCCUUUUACAAUCAGCUUUCGGAUGCUGUAUGGAUGUUGUGGUGCUGUGCAUCAAGAAUUCUGAUUUCAGCCAAAAAAAUAAACUCUAAU
Gallus gallus (chicken) is the source of this 1636-nucleotide long non-coding RNA. Lineage: Eukaryota; Metazoa; Chordata; Aves; Galliformes; Phasianidae. The record is from Ensembl.